RNAcentral lists this ribosomal RNA (466 nucleotides) under uncultured bacterium. RNAcentral's name for it is "partial 16S ribosomal RNA". It matches the Rfam family "Bacterial small subunit ribosomal RNA", at positions 28 to 507 of the family's 1533-position model. The record is from RNAcentral.
GAUGAACGCUGGCGGCGUGCUUAACACAUGCAAGUCGAACGGAAAGGCCCAAGCUUGCUUGGGUGCUCGAGUGGCGAACGGGUGAGUAACACGUGGGUGAUCUGCCCUGCACUUUGGGAUAAGCCUGGGAAACUGGGUCUAAUACCGGAUAGGACCAUCGUUUAGUGUCGGUGGUGGAAAGUUUUUCGGUGUGGGAUGAGCUAGCGGCCUAUCAGCUUGUUGGUGGGGUAAUGGCCUACCAAGGCGUCGACGGGUAGCCGGCCUGAGAGGGUGUACGGCCACAUUGGGACUGAGAUACGGCCCAGACUCCUACGGGAGGCAGCAGUGGGGAAUAUUGCACAAUGGGCGCAAGCCUGAUGCAGCGACGCCGCGUGGGGGAUGACGGCCUUCGGGUUGUAAACUCCUUUCGCCAAGGACGAAGCGUUUUGUGACGGUACUUGGAGAAGAAGCACCGGCUAACUACGUG